GUAAGGCCUCUGAGGCGGCAAAGUAUGUGACAAGAAGAAUGUGAAUCAUUGGAAAGUUGGACAGCUUGGCAGACUGCAGAAGGAGUUUCACCAAGUCUGAGGCAGAAAUACGAGUGAGAACAUACAAACUGGGGCUUCAUGCAUUGGCACAGUAAGUUAAACAACUCUGGGUCAAUGACGAAAUAGUGGUAUGAAAUCACCAUUUAGAAAUGGUCUCAUAUUUGCCUUUAUUUGUUUAGUACAAUAAGGGUCUUACUGGGAUUUGCAA
This 268-nucleotide long non-coding RNA is filed under the name Pogona vitticeps (central bearded dragon). RNAcentral describes it as "lncRNA (ENSPVIG00000007893.1)". The record is from RNAcentral. Lineage: Eukaryota; Metazoa; Chordata; Lepidosauria; Squamata; Agamidae.